RNAcentral lists this small nuclear RNA (103 nucleotides) under Dasypus novemcinctus (nine-banded armadillo). Lineage: Eukaryota; Metazoa; Chordata; Mammalia; Cingulata; Dasypodidae. The record is from RNAcentral.
GCUCCAUUCAGCAGCACAUACUAAAACUGUAAUGACACAGAGAAGAUUAGCAAGGCCCCUGUACAAGGAUGAUAUGCAAAUUUGUGAAGCAUUCUAUAUUUUU